Small nuclear RNA from Nicotiana attenuata, 103 nucleotides. NCBI's taxonomy places the organism in Eukaryota, Viridiplantae, Streptophyta, Magnoliopsida, Solanales, Solanaceae. The record is from Rfam.
GUGUCCGUAGAAAGAAGAGGUGGUUGCAUUUCCCCUGACAGGCAUGGGAAUGGCUUUUGGGCCUUCCUUUGUUAUCAAACAAAUUCCAGGACUUCAGUUUUCU